AGGCACAUGGAAGUCACAUGUGGGCUGUGUAGCCUAUGUAGCUUGAGGGUAGGGCCCCCUUACCCUGGUCUUAUAGAAUUUCUGACCCUGGUAUGUAUUUGAUACAUACUAUUUAAUUACGAUUUUAUUUAUGUCCAUCUUUUUGUUUUGUCUUCUGUGCAUGCUAAGGAGUGACACAUCAGAGAGAUGAACUCAAAUGACACCUCUAGUCAUUCCUUCUCAUUUCUACAUAUGAAGAUUGGUGUGUGCAUCUCACUGGAUCUAUGCACAAAUACUGGGGGGUCUGCUAUACUCGGUUGUAUUGAAUUAUUAGCCUGCUGAGUCUGGCCACAUUUAGAUUCAAGCCUUCUAUUUAAUGAAUGAUGGGGAAUGAAUUAAACAAGGUGCCCCUUAGAGUAUAUACAUAUAUAUUACUUUUAGAUUAUUCCGUACCAUAACUAGACGAUAAAAUUGUCUCAAAAGACUAUCUUAAAAGACUCAAAAGAAACAUGCUAAACCAGAGCUUAAGUUACCAAGAAAGGACUUGUUCAAAGACAAUAAUUUGCUGUAUUUAAUAUGUACAGCAAUUUACUUAGCCUAAUUUUGUCAGCACCUCUCUGAACAAACCUUCUCUUUACAUCUUUUUUGUUUGUUUGUUUCAGGUCAACAUCUUGUGUAUUCUAGCUAAUACCUCAUCAUUAUGCUAACUGUACUUUCAUUGUCAAAAGUCUAUGCUAAAGCCUUUGACUGUGUGUAGCAGGAUAUGACUUGACCUUGCAGAAUUUUCAGCCAUUACCAGCGGUGUCAGAUUGAAUGGGGUAUCACUAUCAACCCUGGAGAACCAGAGGUCAGCUAGCAAGUGCCAGAGACCCCAUCAAAGGUGCUCCUCGAAGUCUCUUCUACUUUUACUUACUUUUUUUCUUUCUACUUUUACUUUUUCACUUUUGUUUUUUGAUGGGGGAAAGGAGGCUGUGGAAUGCCAAGCCCAGGGGCAGGAGUGGGGAGAGCACAUAUGUAUCAGGU
Molecule: long non-coding RNA, 1002 nt
Filed under: Monodelphis domestica (gray short-tailed opossum)
Lineage: Eukaryota; Metazoa; Chordata; Mammalia; Didelphimorphia; Didelphidae
Description: lncRNA (ENSMODG00000051104.1)
Source: RNAcentral